UUCCGCCAUAUUGUCCCAUUGACAUAUUCACAAGUUGAUUCGAGUGAGAUUCACCUCGUCGCUUUUGCUAUUCAUUUCUUCGAUGAUUGCCUAUGGCUAGAAAAUUUAAGACCGAGUGUUAAGAAUACAAUAUCCCUUAAAGUCAACUUGCAUUCAACUUUAUUGCUUAUCGAAGUUCCCUAUCAGCUGUGAUUUCAACCCUUACGCAAAAUGGGAGUUAUUUUUCUUGAACAUAUUGGAGGCACUCGGUUAUUCUCAUGUGCCGCUUGUGACACGAAUUUAACGAAUCGUAGCCAAUUAAUAAGCACACGAUUUACCGGAGCUACUGGACGUGCCUUUUUAUUUAACAAAGUAGUCAACCUUAAUUACAGUGAGGUACAAGACAGAGUCAUGCUGACCGGUCGACAUAUGGUACGUGAUGUGAGCUGCAAGAAUUGUGAUGCUAAACUUGGAUGGGUAUACGAGUUUGCAACUGAUGAAAAUCAACGAUAUAAAGAGGGCCGAGUUAUCUUGGAACGUGCCCUUGUCACGGAAACUGAUGGCAUGGGCGAAAAUAUCUAAUAUUUACAGCCAGAACUCAGAAUUGAAGGGUGCUGGAAGCCAGAGAUAACAAGGAAACAAAAUAUAUUUAUUCUACAAGAGCCUCAAAACGGGUGCAAAUUUCAGAAACGACUUUUCUUAAUGCGCAGCACUUUAGCUAUGAUAGCUUUGUGGAUUUAUUUUUCAUUUCUCUUACCAUAGGGAGUAGAUAAUUGUCUUGGAUUGCAUUAUAUUUUGUGCAACAGUUUAUGCAAUUAUAUACAUGUGAUACUAAUAUUAAUAUCAAGAAGACUUGUGCGUACAAGCAUAGAUAUAUGUUCAAUAUAUCUGUGGUGCAAGCUUUCGAAGCAACAGAUAUCCAUGGAGCAUUACGUAUGUCAAUCAUGUAUAACUUGUGUCAUAACAUCUGUGGCGUCGAGUACCCUUCCUUGUAGUAGAUUUAUUUUAGUUAGAAAUGUAUGUUUAAUUUUAUAUAGAAAGUAUCUAUGUCGGUAUAAGUGGAAAAUGUGAUUUUCUUAGAUAUUCUGUACUAUAACUUUACUCGAGGACUUGAGGUUUCUAGCUCCAUUUUAUUAUUCUUUUCAUACAAGGAAUUUAUAUUCAAAUUCAGCAUUUCUCAUCAUCUCAAUAAUCUUAAGAAUGACUUACUUACCUUAGUUUGAUCUUGGUUUUACAAAGAAAUAAGUAUAGUAGUAAGUUAACUUAAAGUCGAGCUAGAUACCCCCACAAGUUACUUAUAUUAGUGUUACACAUAGCGCAAUAAAUGUAAAUUUUUAUGUAUGUA
RNA transcript from Athalia rosae (coleseed sawfly), 1324 nucleotides. It is a transcript of the gene named protein yippee-like 5, with no coding region annotated. The record is from RefSeq and is a predicted model, not a curated record. The transcript has 4 exons. Lineage: Eukaryota; Metazoa; Arthropoda; Insecta; Hymenoptera; Athaliidae.